UUUCAACAAACCCAUGAUAAUGAGACUGCCACAAAAUGUGACUUUGCAUUUUAAUAUAGCUAAUGAUCAUACAUUCUUUGAUGGCCACUAAUUGAGGCUGUGUCUUUCUAAAACUCCAGCUAAUCGCAUUAUUCUACUCGGCGUUACAUAAUGUCAUAAUCUGAGUAUUUGUGAGUGCAGAGUGUUGAAGGGAAGUGCCAAAGUGCUGUGGUGUGAGGACAGGACUGGAGUGGAGAUGCUACAUGAAUCACGUCAGAGAUCUUUUGUGUUAUUAUGAGAAAUGAAUCUGUGGUGAGACAAACUAGACUAUGACAGGCUGCCACAGUUGAGGAAUGAGGGGCUCUCCGCUGCGAGUGGUCAGACCUGGAGAAGAUGGGAAGCUACGUCUGGGAGGUGGAGGAGGAGGAGACUUGGAGGGUUUCUCUGUGC
This is a long non-coding RNA of Sphaeramia orbicularis (orbiculate cardinalfish), 429 nucleotides long. RefSeq lists it as uncharacterized. The transcript is spliced from 3 exons. Lineage: Eukaryota; Metazoa; Chordata; Actinopteri; Kurtiformes; Apogonidae. The record is from RefSeq and is a predicted model, not a curated record.